GACAAACGCUAGCGGCGUGUAUUAGGCAUGCAAGUCGCACGGUCACCUCGCAAGAGGUGGCAGUGGCGGACGGGUGAGUAACACGUGGGUAACCUGCCUCGCAGUGGGGAAUAACUCGCCGAAAGGCGAGCUAAUACCGCAUACCACUCUCGGUGAGAAUCCGAGCAGUAAAAGUAGCAAUGCGCUGUGAGAGGGGCCCGCGGCCGAUUAGCUUGUUGGUGGGGUAACGGCCUACCAAGGCGACGAUCGGUAGCUGGUCUGAGAGGAUGGUCAGCCACACGGGGACUGAGAUACGGCCCCGACUCCUACGGGAGGCAGCAGCUAAGAAUCUUGCGCAAUGAGCGAAAGCUUGACGCAGCAACGCCGCGUGGAGGACGAAGGCCCUCGGGUCGUAAACUCCUUUUGUGAGGGAAGAAGAUCUGACGGUACCUCACGAAUAAGCCACGGCUAACUACGUGCCAGCCGCCGCGGUAAC
This 475-nucleotide ribosomal RNA is filed under the name uncultured bacterium. RNAcentral describes it as "bacterial SSU rRNA". It matches the Rfam family "Bacterial small subunit ribosomal RNA", at positions 28 to 524 of the family's 1533-position model. The record is from RNAcentral.